AUGAGUUUUGACUCUCAGGGAACGUAUGAUUUCUACAAUCUUUAUUCAUGGGAGCUCGGAUUUGGUAUAAGAUAUGGCAAGAGCGAUCUGAAUGUCGAGCUGGCGAAAGGUAUGCAGGAAAUUGUGUGUGGAUGCUUGGGGAGGCCUGAGCAGCAAAACAGCCGGUCUUGCCGGUGCGAAUGCCCUGCAAUGUUUUCGAGGAUGGGGCUUACUAGGUCGAGGAAAUUGAAAGGAAGAAGAAGUACAUUGCAAGACACAACAAUGCCGACAACCGUGGGAAGUGGAGCAAGGUUGUUUAUGAGGUGA
RNAcentral lists this ribosomal RNA (306 nucleotides) under Triticum aestivum (bread wheat). RNAcentral describes it as "partial small subunit ribosomal RNA". The record is from RNAcentral. Lineage: Eukaryota; Viridiplantae; Streptophyta; Magnoliopsida; Poales; Poaceae.